AAGCCUCCAAGGUAUAUUCCCAGCAGACGCAUUAUCAGAUUAAGAAACUGCAAACAAAGUGCGCUAGAGAGAGCGCCCAUUCUUUGUGCCGGCCCGGCCUCUUCUUCCUGUGAUGUCACAGAACAAAUCGGGCGAGCUUUUCCCUCUGCCUUCGGAGGCGGCCCCCGCGCACAAUCCAGCGGGAGCUGGAGGAGCGAGGAGGCCCCCGCUCCGGCAAGAGCAAACACGCCCUGGAAUUUGAUCGCUGGACUUGCGAGGGGGUUUUCCUUACCGCCUUCUCGGAGCGGCGAGCGGGGAAGGGGGGCGAUGCGAGCCCCUAGGUGAACGCCGGGGAGGAAGAAGCAAGGGAAGGGGGCCGUCCUGCCGCCUCUUCCCCUCCGUCCGGGAUUUCGGCGACGCUCCGAAGUCCCCGAGGCUUCGGGGGAUCCCGGGAUCCUCCCGCCCAUCCGCGGCCGCUUCCCGGGGAUCCCCUUCGACCGGAGUUCUUGGAGGGAUGGCCUGGCCGGCCGCGUUGAGGAGGCCCUCUCGGGCUGGCGGGCGACUGAAGAAAGGAUCCUCGGAGUCGGCGAUGCUGCCCUGGUGUGCAACACGAGUAUGAUAAAGAGGUCAACAUUUUUUGAGCCUACACAUCGAAGUGCAUAGCUGUCUUAAUGGGAAGAUGACACCACAAAGUGAGAAUUCUAUUCCUAAACAUCAUUACCUGCUGAGAAGGCUGGAAGGAGGAGGCAUAAUACCGUUCGAGUCAGCACCUACCUCGCCUUCCUACCAAGGAAACCAACAUUACCAAGAAGACCCUUUGCCUCUGAAGAGUAAAGUUUGAGUGUUGGUAGACUGAGUUUCAGGACCUCAGUAUUUGUGAUACUCCUUAGUCAGCUGAUGCUAAAUGUGGACUGCAGCCGUCCCUCCUUGAAAGGCAGAAUGAUUGCUAUGGAAGUCACUCGGCCCCCAAACCAUUCUGCACCUUGACACACUGGUAACAAAGCUUGAUGCUGUGUUGUUGCACACUGUCGGUACUACAAAGGGCAGACUAACCAUUUGUAUUUAGCUUUUUCUCUUUGUCUACUCAUA
Long non-coding RNA from Ornithorhynchus anatinus (platypus), 1068 nucleotides. RefSeq lists it as uncharacterized. NCBI's taxonomy places the organism in Eukaryota, Metazoa, Chordata, Mammalia, Monotremata, Ornithorhynchidae. The transcript has 3 exons. The record is from RefSeq and is a predicted model, not a curated record.